UUGACUUAUCAAAUGAUAAUUAUUAUUAUUUAAUCAUCUGGUCGAGAGAUCAGCCGGUAAGCUGGGACCCCAGGUCACAAGGUUUCAGGUUAUCUCCUCAUCAAGGCUAAUCACGGUUUUAAACCCAGCUUCGGCUGGGUUUUUUUUGU
This 149-nucleotide small RNA is filed under the name Azomonas agilis. Its description in RNAcentral is "PrrF RNA". It matches the Rfam family "PrrF RNA". From Rfam's summary of the family: PrrF RNA is a small RNA involved in iron homeostasis and is found exclusively in Pseudomonas species. Lineage: Bacteria; Pseudomonadati; Pseudomonadota; Gammaproteobacteria; Pseudomonadales; Pseudomonadaceae. The record is from Rfam by way of RNAcentral.